This 855-nucleotide long non-coding RNA is filed under the name Homo sapiens (human). Its description in RNAcentral is "HSALNT0405240". The record is from RNAcentral. Lineage: Eukaryota; Metazoa; Chordata; Mammalia; Primates; Hominidae.
ACUGCCCCGACCUCCCGCCCCAGGUUCCACGCGCUCUGAUGCCCGCCCCGCUCACCCAGAGAAGCCCUGGGCCAGACGUCCACAACCCAAGGGGUUAUGGGGAGGCCUCUGCUCCCUGGACACAGUAGUUCUCAAACUGGACAGUGUCAAUCAGCAUCCUCCGGGAGGUCUGGGGUGGCCCCGGAAAUACAUGUGUCCCACCUAUCCCAGCAGGUAAUGAUGAAACUCCUGCUCUGGUCCGGGCUACCGGUGAACAGCGCCCAGCGGGCCGGGCCCCCAACCUCGCUCCUGAGCCUGAACAUCCCCCCAACCCCACCGUGAGAAUUCAGCGAAGAGUAAAAGCUGGAAAAAGUUGCGUGUCUUAGGCUAAGCAGAACAAAGUGGGGUGACGGCUCCCCGGCUAGGAACAGAGAUGCCCUUAGGGAGCCCUCUGAUGGAAGAGCUCUCCGCUUAAGAAGGUCACCACUCCCUUACACUCAGGAGAUGUUGCUGAGAUGGGUGCAUUAAAGUUUAGGCUUUCCAGAGUUUAUAUUGCUAACAACUUGAAAGGAAAAAAGCUAACUAGAGAACUGACUGGUCUUAUUUGUUUUAGAUUCUGGGCUUUACUAAGACUUCCUACUCUCAGAAUCUCUGGACUAUAAACGCUGGGUGGGGUGGGAGCUGGGAAUGUUAUUCUGGAAAAUUAAUCACAAAUGAAAAGAAAAUCAACUCUAAGACUCCAGUUAGAAGAUUUUUGAAAAUGGCAGAACAUGACUGGCCUUCAUUCAAGUCAGAAUAUUUAAAGCAAUCCUUGCUAAGAAGAACUUGAUUUUGUAUAAGCAGUCCCUUAAAUACAGUUGCUUCUCAAGAAAACCA